UCCUUGAGGAACACAGUACUCCUAGCAAAUUGGUUGGCGAUAUAAAAUAUACGAUCUUUAUAAAACAAAGCAGUAACCUAGAUGGCAACAAAUACUCAUAGUUAAAUGCAUCCAAUUGUAUAGAACUUUUUUUCCAUUGUUAAGCUAAGAAGUUCAUAAUGGAUUUUUGGGGUAAAAUAAGAGAUGGCUUCUUCUGCAAAUACAUGAGUGGAUCAAGUUCAUGAACUCUGUGGUAUAUCUUCUUUUUG
Molecule: unclassified non-coding RNA, 248 nt
Filed under: Hevea brasiliensis (rubber tree)
Lineage: Eukaryota; Viridiplantae; Streptophyta; Magnoliopsida; Malpighiales; Euphorbiaceae
Source: RNAcentral